This 345-nucleotide long non-coding RNA is filed under the name Hordeum vulgare. RNAcentral's name for it is "long non-coding RNA (HVUL_LNC020233)". Lineage: Eukaryota; Viridiplantae; Streptophyta; Magnoliopsida; Poales; Poaceae. The record is from RNAcentral.
UUUUACAGGGCUUGUUGGAGCAAACGCCCUCCAGCGCGCUAAAAAUGCUAUUUUGACGUUGUAAAUUUUUUUUAGGACGCUACAGUAGCGCGUGUCUGCUGGAGAUGCUCUUAUGAUUUUUCCCUCCACCUCCCGAUAUUACCACAACCGCCAAUGGUAGUGGGGGAGGCAGACUACACCACCAACAUCCUUGGCUAGGGCUCUUGUGACAUGCUCGCAUAUUUCGCAUGCUCCCUCUCACCCCCUCAUCCUGGGUAAAAGUAAGCAUUUGUAAGACUUGAGGUGUCAAAUUUGAAUUUUUUUAUAGUUUGAGCUUUUUCCACCAUUUAGCCUCAAAUAUGAAUU